UACAGAGGGUGCAAGCGUUGUUCGGAAUUACUGGGCGUAAAGCGUGCGUAGGCGGUAUUGAGAGUCACGGGUGAAAUCCCCAAGCUUAACUUGGGAACUGCCUGUGAGACCUCAGUACUAGAGUGUGAGAGAGGAUUGUGGAAUUCCUGGUGUAGCGGUGAAAUGCGUAGAGAUCAGGAGGAACACCGGUGGCGAAGGCGACAAUCUGGCUCAUAACUGACGCUCAGGCACGAAAGCGUGGGUAGCAAACAGG
This 253-nucleotide ribosomal RNA is filed under the name uncultured bacterium. Its description in RNAcentral is "partial 16S ribosomal RNA". It matches the Rfam family "Bacterial small subunit ribosomal RNA", at positions 524 to 776 of the family's 1533-position model. The record is from RNAcentral.